Molecule: small RNA, 130 nt
Filed under: Pectobacterium actinidiae
Lineage: Bacteria; Pseudomonadati; Pseudomonadota; Gammaproteobacteria; Enterobacterales; Pectobacteriaceae
Description: Pectobacterium carotovorum subsp. actinidiae RtT sRNA
Rfam family: RtT RNA
About the family: This family represents a bacterial cis-regulatory element known as RtT RNA. The exact function of RtT is unknown although it is thought that it may be involved in changing the cellular response in relation to amino acid starvation.
Source: RNAcentral
CAGAUUCCCACUAGGGGAAGGUGAGAACCUUCGACCAAGGUUCGACAAAACCGGUACGGUUUUGAGCAAUGCGCAGCAUUGACCCGCAGGGCGAGGAGCGAAGCGACGAGUUAUCCUUCCCCCACCACCA